CCUACGGGGGGCACCAGUAGGGAAUCUUCGGCAAUGGACGAAAGUCUGACCGGGCAACGCCGCGUGAGUGAAGAAGGUUUUCGGAUCGUAAAACUCUGUUGUUAGAGAAGAACAAGUAAGAGAGUAACUGCUCUUACCUUGACGGUAUCUAACCAGAAAGCCACGGCUAACUACGUGCCAGCAGCCGCGGUAAUACGUAGGUGGCAAGCGUUGUCCGGAUUUAUUGGGCGUAAAGCGAGCGCAGGCGGUCUUUUAAGUCUGAUGUGAAAGCCCUCGGCUCAACCGAGGAAGGUCAUUGGAAACUGGAGGACUUGAGUGCAGAAGAGGGGAGUGGAAUUCCAUGUGUAGCGGUGAAAUGCGUAGAUAUAUGGAGGAACACCUGUGGCGAAGGCGACUCUCUGGUCUGUAACUGACGCUGAGGCUCGAAAGCGUGGGGAGCAAACAGGAUUAGAUACCCCUGUAGUC
RNAcentral lists this ribosomal RNA (465 nucleotides) under uncultured bacterium. Its description in RNAcentral is "bacterial SSU rRNA". It matches the Rfam family "Bacterial small subunit ribosomal RNA", at positions 338 to 795 of the family's 1533-position model. The record is from RNAcentral.